UUGAACGCUGGCGGCAGGCCUAACACAUGCAAGUCGAGCGGAUGAAGGGAGCUUGCUCCUGGAUUCAGCGGCGGACGGGUGAGUAAUGCCUAGGAAUCUGCCUGGUAGUGGGGGAUAACGUCCGGAAACGGGCGCUAAUACCGCAUACGUCCUGAGGGAGAAAGUGGGGGAUCUUCGGACCUCACGCUAUCAGAUGAGCCUAGGUCAGAUUAGCUAGUUGGUGGGGUAAAGGCCUACCAAGGCGACGAUCCGUAACUGGUCUGAGAGGAUGAUCAGUCACACUGGAACUGAGACACGGUCCAGACUCCUACGGGAGGCAGCAGUGGGGAAUAUUGGACAAUGGGCGAAAGCCUGAUCCAGCCAUGCCGCGUGUGUGAAGAAGGUCUUUGGAUUGUAAAGCACUUUAAGUUGGGAGGAAGGGCAGUAAGUUAAUACCUUGCUGUUUUGACGUUACCAACAGAAUAAGCACCGGCUAACUUCGUG
RNAcentral lists this ribosomal RNA (483 nucleotides) under uncultured bacterium. RNAcentral describes it as "partial 16S ribosomal RNA". It matches the Rfam family "Bacterial small subunit ribosomal RNA", at positions 30 to 507 of the family's 1533-position model. The record is from RNAcentral.